This is an RNA transcript of Prunus dulcis (almond), 1337 nucleotides long. It is a transcript of the gene named transcription termination factor MTERF9, chloroplastic-like, with no coding region annotated. The record is from RefSeq and is a predicted model, not a curated record. Lineage: Eukaryota; Viridiplantae; Streptophyta; Magnoliopsida; Rosales; Rosaceae. The transcript is spliced from 6 exons.
AUGAAGAAUUACAACGAGAGGAACAAUAAGUCUGACCCUGACACAAAAAAUCACAUAACAGGCUGCCGUCUCGUGGUGCUCUCAACCCACUCCAACCCCAAAAUUCUCAAGUCCAAUCGGAGGUCGUGCUAUGGCCAGCCUCUGUCUCCUUACGACCAAGAUGACGACGAAGAGGUUUCUCGUGCUAGUGAUGUUUCGGAUGACGAUUGGUUGCUCAAUGAUGACUUUGCAGAAAUUUCAGAGUUUGAUGUUAAUAGAAAGAGGUCCAAAUCACACAAGGGAUUUGCGAAUGGUCAUUCGGAUGGCAGAAACAGUAAGCACACUCUAGAGAAAAGUAAUGCUGCAAACUACUACAAUAGUUCUAAUCAAACAAAUGGUGUCAGUUCCUUGGAUGUACCUCGUAAGGGAAAGCAGUCUACAAGGAAAGCUAUGGAGGAUAGAUUUCCUCGGCUAUCAGAAGAGGUUGAAUUGGAUGAGAAGUGGUUACCUCUUAUUGAUUACCUUAGUUCAUUUGGGCUUAAGGAAUCACACUUUAUUCAAAUGUAUGAGAGGCAUAUGCCUUCUCUUCAAAUAAAUGUGUGCUCUGCAAAGGAAAGGUUGGAAUAUUUGUUGAGUGUUGGGGUCAAACAAAGAGAUGUAAGAAGAAUGCUUUUGAGGCAGCCACAAAUCCUUGAAUAUACAGUUGAGAACAAUUUGAAGUCCCAUGUUGCUUUCCUCAUGAGUUUGGGUAUUCCAAGUUCCAGAGUCGGGCAGAUUAUCGCUGCUGCUCCAUCCCUCUUCUCUUACAGUGUUGAGAAUUCAUUGAAACCCACCGUGAGAUACUUAGUUGAGGAGGUCGGGAUUAAGGAAAAAGAUUUAGGUAAAGUUGUGCAGUUAAGCCCUCAAAUUCUAGUUCAGCGGAUUGAUAUAUCAUGGAAUACUCGUUUGAAUUUUCUUUCUAAGGAGAUAGGAGCACCCAGAGAUAGUAUUGUGAAGAUGGUUAAAAAACAUCCCCAGUUCCUCCACUAUAGCAUCGAUGAUGGACUGUUCCCCAGGAUCAAUUUCCUUAAGAGUAUUGGGAUGUGUAAUGCUGACAUCUUGAAAGUCUUAACUAGUCUGACACAGGGACUAUCCCUAUCACUGGAGGAGAAUUUGAAACCCAAGUACAAGUACUUGGUCAAUGAACUCCAUAAUGAAGUGCAUUCCUUGACCAAAUAUCCUAUGUACCUAAGCUUGUCUUUAGACCUGAGAAUUCACCCCCGACAUAGGUUCUUGCUUUCUCUGAAGAAGCUCCUAAGGGGCCAUUUCCUUUAAGCUCGUUACCAAAUAAGGCACAGAUAACUAAUAACCGUGCCUAA